CAGCAGCCGCGGUAAUACGUAGGUCCCGAGCGUUGUCCGGAUUUAUUGGGCGUAAAGCGAGCGCAGGCGGUAUGAUAAGUCUGAAGUUAAAGGCUGUGGCUCAACCAUAGUUCGCUUUGGAAACUGUCAAACUUGAGUGCAGAAGGGGAGAGUGGAAUUCCAUGUGUAGCGGUGAAAUGCGUAGAUAUAUGGAGGAACACCGGUGGCGAAAGCGGCUCUCUGGUCUGUAACUGACGCUGAGGCUCGGAAGCGUGGGGAGCGAACAGGAUUAGAUACCCCAGUAGUCCCUGUCUCUUAUACC
Molecule: ribosomal RNA, 301 nt
Filed under: uncultured bacterium
Lineage: Bacteria
Description: partial 16S ribosomal RNA
Rfam family: Bacterial small subunit ribosomal RNA
Source: RNAcentral